This 454-nucleotide ribosomal RNA is filed under the name uncultured bacterium. Its description in RNAcentral is "partial 16S ribosomal RNA". It matches the Rfam family "Bacterial small subunit ribosomal RNA", at positions 28 to 507 of the family's 1533-position model. The record is from RNAcentral.
GAUGAACGCUGACAGCAUGCUUAACACAUGCAAGUCAACCUGAACUUCGGUUUGGGUGGCGGACGGGUGAGUAACGCGGAAAGAACUUGCCCCACAGUUAGGGACAACAUUUGGAAACGAAUGCUAAUACCUGAUAUUAUGAUUUUAGGGCAUCUUAGUAUUAUGAAAGCUAUAUGCGCUGUGAGAGGGCUUUGCGUCCCAUUAGCUAGUUGGAGAGGUAACGGCUCACCAAGGCGAUGAUGGGUAGCCGGCCUGAAAGGGAGAACGGCCACAAGGGGACUGAGGCACGGCCCUUACUCCUUCGUGCGGCAGCAGUGGGGAAUAUUUGACACUGGACCAAGAGUCUGAUCCAGCACUUCUGUGUGCACGAUGAUGUUUUUCGGAAUGUAAAGUGCUUUCAGUUGGGAAGAACAAAAUGACGGUACCAACAGAAGAAGUGACGGCUAAAUACGUG